GCCUGGGUGGCUCAGUCGGUUGAGCGUCCGACUUCAGCUCAGGUCACGAUCUCACGGUCCGUGAGUUCGAGCCCCGCCUCAGGCU
RNAcentral lists this transfer RNA (85 nucleotides) under Felis catus (domestic cat). It matches the Rfam family "tRNA". Rfam says of the family: Transfer RNA (tRNA) molecules are approximately 80 nucleotides in length. Their secondary structure includes four short double-helical elements and three loops (D, anti-codon, and T loops). Lineage: Eukaryota; Metazoa; Chordata; Mammalia; Carnivora; Felidae. The record is from Rfam by way of RNAcentral.